This 492-nucleotide ribosomal RNA is filed under the name uncultured bacterium. Its description in RNAcentral is "partial 16S ribosomal RNA". It matches the Rfam family "Bacterial small subunit ribosomal RNA", at positions 29 to 507 of the family's 1533-position model. The record is from RNAcentral.
AGUGAACGCUGGCGGUAGGCCUAACACAUGCAAGUCGAACGGCAGCACAGUAAGAGCUUGCUCUUACGGGUGGCGAGUGGCGGACGGGUGAGGAAUACAUCGGAAUCUACUUUUUCGUGGGGGAUAACGUAGGGAAACUUACGCUAAUACCGCAUACGACCUACGGGUGAAAGCAGGGGAUCUUCGGACCUUGCGCGAUUGAAUGAGCCGAUGUCGGAUUAGCUAGUUGGCGGGGUAAAGGCCCACCAAGGCGACGAUCCGUAGCUGGUCUGAGAGGAUGAUCAGCCACACUGGAACUGAGCCACGGUCCAGACUCCUACGGGACGCAGCAGUGGGGAAUAUUGGACAAUGGGCGCAAGCCUGAUCCAGCCAUACCGCGUGGGUGAAGAAGGCCUUCGGGUUGUAAAGCCCUUUUGUUGGGAAAGAAAAGCAGCAGGUUAAUACCCCGCUGUUCUGACGGUACCCAAAGAAUAAGCACCGGCUAACUUCGUG